CUGGAGGUAUCAGAAGUGCGAAUGCUGACAUAAGUAACGAUAAAGCGGGUGAAAAGCCCGCUCGCCGGAAGACCAAGGGUUCCUGUCCAACGUUAAUCGGGGCAGGGUGAGUCGACCCCUAAGGCGAGGCCGAAAGGCGUAGUCGAUGGGAAACAGGUUAAUAUUCCUGUACUUGGUGUUACUGCGAAGGGGGGACGGAGAAGGCUAUGUUGGCCGGGCGACGGUUGUCCCGGUUUAAGCGUGUAGGCUGGUUUUCCAGGCAAAUCCGGAAAAUCAAGGCUGAGGCGUGAUGACGAGGCACUACGGUGCUGAAGCAACAAAUGCCCUGCUUCCAGGAAAAGCCUCUAAGCAUCAGGUAACAUCAAAUCGUACCCCAAACCGACACAGGUGGUCAGGUAGAGAAUACCAAGGCGCUUGAGAGAACUCGGGUGAAGGAACUAGGCAAAAUGGUGCCGUAACUUCGGGAGAAGGCACGCUGAUAUGUAGGUGAAGUCCCUCGCGGAUGGAGCUGAAAUCAGUCGAAGAUACCAGCUGGCUGCAACUGUUUAUUAAAAACACAGCACUGUGCAAACACGAAAGUGG
This 582-nucleotide ribosomal RNA is filed under the name Escherichia coli. Its description in RNAcentral is "partial 23S ribosomal RNA". It matches the Rfam family "Bacterial large subunit ribosomal RNA", at positions 1273 to 1840 of the family's 2925-position model. The record is from RNAcentral. Lineage: Bacteria; Pseudomonadati; Pseudomonadota; Gammaproteobacteria; Enterobacterales; Enterobacteriaceae.